AUAUACACAUAUUAUAUAGGGCAAAUCUCCAAAAUAGCACAUUUCUAAGUUUAUGUCACAAAAAUAGUCUUCAAAAACAAAAAUGACCAAAAUAGCAUUUUAUCUUUUGAAAAAUUUAAAUUUUUUUUAUUUUUCAAAAUUUGAAAUCUUAUCCCAAAACCCCACUCUCCAACUCUAAACCUAAAACCUAAACUCUAAACCCUAAACCCUAAAUC
RNAcentral lists this long non-coding RNA (215 nucleotides) under Brassica napus (rape). Its description in RNAcentral is "long non-coding RNA (BNAP_LNC012090)". Lineage: Eukaryota; Viridiplantae; Streptophyta; Magnoliopsida; Brassicales; Brassicaceae. The record is from RNAcentral.